GAUGAACGCUGGCGGCGUGCCUAAUACAUGCAAGUCGAGCGAACGGACGAGAAGCUUGCUUCUCUGAUGUUAGCGGCGGACGGGUGAGUAACACGUGGAUAACCUACCUAUAAGACUGGGAUAACUUCGGGAAACCGGAUCUAAUACCGGAUAAUAUUUUGAACCGCAUGGUUCAAAAGUGAAAGACGGUCUUGCUGUCACUAAUAGAUGGAUCCGCGCUGCAUUAGCUAGUUGGUAAGGUAACGGCUUACCAAGGCAACGAUGCAUAGCCGACCUGAGAGGGUGAUCGGCCACACUGGAACUGAGACACGGUCCAGACUCCUGCGGGAGGCAGCAGUAGGGAAUCUUCCGCAAUGGGCGAAAGCCUGACAGAGCAACGCCGCGUGAGUGAUGAAGGUCUUCGGAUCGUAAAGCUCUGUUAUUAGGGAAGAACAUAUGUGUAAGUAACUGUGCACAUCUUGACGGUACCUAAUCAGAAAGCCACGGCUAACUACGUG
This 497-nucleotide ribosomal RNA is filed under the name uncultured bacterium. RNAcentral's name for it is "partial 16S ribosomal RNA". It matches the Rfam family "Bacterial small subunit ribosomal RNA", at positions 28 to 507 of the family's 1533-position model. The record is from RNAcentral.